UACGAAGGGUGCAAGCGUUACUCGGAAUUACUGGGCGUAAAGCGUGCGUAGGUGGUUUGUUAAGUCUGUUGUGAAAGCCCCGGGCUCAACCUGGGAAUGGCAAUGGAUACUGGCAAGCUAGAGUGCGGUAGAGGGUAGUGGAAUUCCCGGUGUAGCGGUGGAAUGCGUAGAGAUCGGGAAGAACAUCGGUGGCGAAGGCGGCCAGCUGGGCCGUUGCUGACGCUGAGGCGCGAAAGCGUGGGGAUCAAACAGG
This 253-nucleotide ribosomal RNA is filed under the name uncultured bacterium. RNAcentral's name for it is "partial 16S ribosomal RNA". It matches the Rfam family "Bacterial small subunit ribosomal RNA", at positions 524 to 776 of the family's 1533-position model. The record is from RNAcentral.